Molecule: ribosomal RNA, 253 nt
Filed under: uncultured bacterium
Lineage: Bacteria
Description: partial 16S ribosomal RNA
Rfam family: Bacterial small subunit ribosomal RNA
Source: RNAcentral
UACGGGGGGGGCAAGCGUUGUUCGGAAUUACUGGGCGUAAAGGGCCAGUAGGCGGCCAACUAAGUCCGACGUGAAAUCCCCAGGCUCAACUUGGGAACUGCGUCGGAUACUGGAUGGCUUGAAUUCGGGAGAGGGAUGCAGAAUUCCAGGUGUAGCGGUGAAAUGCGUAGAUAUCUGGAGGAACAUCGGUGGCGAAGGCGGCAUCCUGGACCGGUAUUGACGCUGAGGCGCGAAAGCCAGGGGAGCAAACGGG